UACGUAGGAGGCAAGCGUUAUCCGGAAUGACUGGGCGUAAAGGGUGCGUAGGCGGAUUUUUAAGUCAGCGGUAAAAUGUCCGGGCUCAACCCGGGCCGGCCGUUGAAACUGGGGAUCUUGAGUGGGCGAGAAGUAUGCGGAAUGCGUGGUGUAGCGGUGAAAUGCAUAGAUAUCACGCAGAACUCCGAUUGCGAAGGCAGCAUACCGGCGCCCGACUGACGCUGAGGCACGAAAGCGUGGGGAUCGAACAGG
RNAcentral lists this ribosomal RNA (252 nucleotides) under uncultured Bacteroidales bacterium. Its description in RNAcentral is "partial 16S ribosomal RNA". It matches the Rfam family "Bacterial small subunit ribosomal RNA", at positions 524 to 776 of the family's 1533-position model. The record is from RNAcentral. Lineage: Bacteria; Pseudomonadati; Bacteroidota; Bacteroidia; Bacteroidales.